Long non-coding RNA from Prionailurus viverrinus (fishing cat), 1070 nucleotides. RefSeq lists it as uncharacterized. The transcript is spliced from 3 exons. NCBI's taxonomy places the organism in Eukaryota, Metazoa, Chordata, Mammalia, Carnivora, Felidae. The record is from RefSeq and is a predicted model, not a curated record.
AAGAGCACCCGUGUGGUAGGGGGCCGAGCGCAGAAACCCAGCUCCAAAAGACUUUAAAAUCCAGGAAAUGAUGGAAUCCAGGGACCAACAAAGAAAAGCUCGGUGGGCAGCGCCAGCUGGCUCAUCUGGUAAAGGAGAACUUUGAGGCCGGGAAGCCUCCAGAUAGAGGCCGCGCGCUGGCCCAAGCAGGCCCGGGCACCUGCAGGCCUCUCCAGCAGAAAGAAGGAACUAUGGGGAAUCACACACCGGAGUUUGAAGUUUUUACCCAGAAGUGACCUACUUCCCUCCGUUUCAUUGACCAAAGCAGCUCACACAGCCCUGAAGAGUCAGAAGGAAACAGAGGCAAAACGUUUCGGAAGAGCCCCAAGGUCAACAGCCAAAACGGUCAUAGUUGGCCAGGUCUUCUGCAUUCAUGACCCUGUACACAGAGAUUCUGUAGCUCUACCUUCAAGAAAUGGUGGAAUCCAUUUCUGCCUCCUGGAGCCUUGGUUGGCCGUGACUCGCUAUGACAAACACAAUGUGGAGGAGGUGAUGCCGCGGCAUCUACAACCUAGGCUCAGAGGCCUUGCGCCAUCCCACCCGUUCUCUUAGAACCUGGGUCGGCCUUCUGGAAAACGAGACCUGUGGCCCAGUCACACACCAGCAAGCCAACUGGUGGACCCAGGAGGGGGGUCUCGUGACAUCAACCAGCCCCCGGCGAAUCUGCCAGAAAGCCCAGCCAACUUCAGCUGACCCCUGACCAGAUGAUCACUGCUUCUCCCUGCCCCAGUGGCUUGUGAGAAAUAAUGAAUGCUUGCUGUUCCAAGCCACCAGUUUGGGGGCAGUUUGUUACACAGCAACAGCAGACUGCUAUCAACCCUAAUGACAAUAUGGUGCUUUGUUAAAUACUCGUCGAACGAAAGACGGAGAGCAGAGCAGAUUCUUUCCCUCUCUUGCUUUCUCUACCAAAGCCCAGGCUGGGCUUCCAGGAACUAGGAAUCCUGACUUAAAACGUAAAGCCUCGGGGUGCCUGGGUGGCUCCGUCAGUUAAGCAUCCGACUUCGGCUCAGGUCACGAUCUCACGGUUCGUG